Molecule: transfer RNA, 87 nt
Filed under: Neisseria flavescens SK114
Lineage: Bacteria; Pseudomonadati; Pseudomonadota; Betaproteobacteria; Neisseriales; Neisseriaceae
Description: tRNA-Leu
Rfam family: tRNA
About the family: Transfer RNA (tRNA) molecules are approximately 80 nucleotides in length.
Source: RNAcentral
UGCGGACGUGGCGAAAUUGGUAGACGCACCAGAUUUAGGUUCUGGCGCCGCGAGGUGUGAGAGUUCGAGUCUCUCCGUCCGCACCAC